CAGAGGUCCCGAGCGUUGUUCGGAUUCACUGGGCGUAAAGGGUGCGUAGGUGGUGAGGUAAGUCGGAUGUGAAAUCUCCGGGCUUAACCCGGAAAUGGCAUUGGAAACUACCUUGCUUGAGGAUUUGAGGGGGGAUUGGAAUACUUGGUGUAGCAGUGAAAUGCGUAGAUAUCAAGUGGAACACCAGUGGCGAAGGCGAAUCCCUGGAAAAUACCUGACACUGAGGCACGAAAGCUAGGGGAGCAAACAGGAUUAGAUACCCUGGUAGUCCUAGCCCUAAACGGUGCUUGCUUGCUGCAAGAGGAAUCGACCCCUCUUGUGGCGGAGCUAACGCGUUAAGCAAGCCGCCUGGGAAGUACGGUCGCAAGAUUA
This 372-nucleotide ribosomal RNA is filed under the name uncultured organism. Its description in RNAcentral is "bacterial SSU rRNA". It matches the Rfam family "Bacterial small subunit ribosomal RNA", at positions 526 to 896 of the family's 1533-position model. The record is from RNAcentral.